CCCAGGCGCUCUCCCUGACUCCUUUUCUCUUGCCAUACAGCAGCGGCGCCAAGGGGUUGGUAUGGGGGGACCUUCUUUGUCAGUUACCGUCGAGGCUUGGAGUAAUAUAAUUAAAACCGGGGUGCAGAAGAAAAACAAGCACCGUAGCCCUGGCUUUCGACUCAUUAGGCCGCUCAGCACCUCCUGCAUCGCAAUACCGGCCCCCCAAUCUGACCCCGGCCCCUGGCCCCAGUUGGACAAGCAGCGUUAGUCCCCACGGAGGUUGGAGUUUGUUCCUGCCACCGCUGCCCUCUGGAGAACUGGUCUUGCUGAGUUGUUGUCGGGGUGAUGUCAUCCGCCUGUGCUGAGAGACAGGGGAGGAAACGGCCCAAAUGACACUCACUGUCGUCUGUCUUACAGAAUGUUGUCAAGCUGUGCUGUUUUGUAUCCCAGUGUCUAUUUAUAAGACUCCUCAGAGACUUGCCUAACUGGUCUUAGAAGCAAAAACAGUUGUAUUACUCCUGGAAAGCUGUUCUUUUUCCUCCGAGAAGCCCAUCUCCAAGUGUCCAGUAUUCUCUUCUCCCUGUCAUUCCGGAAUGAAGCAAAGAAACAAAAGAAGGAGGAAAAGGAGAAAAUACUUUGAGCUAUGAAAAAUCAAAGCAGAUAGAUGAUCAAAGGAAUCCAAAUACACAGGCAUUUUGUGUUUUUUUCCUCAGUGGAAUUUUAACAUUAACUCAUCACAGAUUCGUACCGAGUAAUAAUUAUGUACUCGCUUUUCAAAGCUCUGAAGUACAAACAGUAAGUGCCUGAAGAGGGCAUUCUAUGUAUGUGCCUUGUCUACAGACUCCUAAGUUCUUCUUCCCACCAUGUUUUUAGAAAUAACCAGCACAGUUAGGACUUUGUAGAAUGACAUUCGGACACUAUGCUUUCAUUUGAAGCCAGGCACAAUAAAAAUGUCUUUGAGGCUUUGUCCUGA
Enhydra lutris kenyoni (northern sea otter) is the source of this 955-nucleotide long non-coding RNA. RefSeq lists it as uncharacterized. NCBI's taxonomy places the organism in Eukaryota, Metazoa, Chordata, Mammalia, Carnivora, Mustelidae. The transcript has 2 exons. The record is from RefSeq and is a predicted model, not a curated record.